UAUCCAUUGCGUGUUGCUAGUUAAUUUGUUGGCUAAAAUUCUCUUUGUGUGUUGCUGGUGCCCCGUUUCGUUGUGCUGCAUACCUAUUUUGUAGGUAUUCRGUUGGCWAAAACGUCCCUCUUCCGYCUCGUGSUGUGCCUCUACGGAUGCGGCGCGGGGUGGACCUGAAAGCGUUCGUCGCGUUCCACAUUCCGCGCAAGUACCGAUGUACGUGCUCGGGAUGUUGGCCCGUGUCGGCAUGCUCGAUCUCUCGGAUGCGGAACAGUGAGCGGGUACGAGGCCACCAGGCCUCUAUUUGCCCCGAAAAACAAGCGUUCUACGCUUCUCGCRAACGACCGCCGCUACCGCUCUGUGCGGGUCCUYGCGGCUCGUAUCAUGCGGUAGUGGCGUCGAUGAGGAAUGC
RNAcentral lists this unclassified non-coding RNA (403 nucleotides) under Nemesia versicolor. RNAcentral's name for it is "partial external transcribed spacer". Lineage: Eukaryota; Viridiplantae; Streptophyta; Magnoliopsida; Lamiales; Scrophulariaceae. The record is from RNAcentral.